CAGUAGCCGCGGGAAUACGUAGGUCCCGAGCGUUGUCCGGAUUUAUUGGGCGUAAAGCGAGCGCAGGCGGUUAGAUAAGUCUGAAGUUAAAGGCUGUGGCUUAACCAUAGUACGCUUUGGAAACUGUUUAACUUGAGUGCAGAAGGGGAGAGUGGAAUUCCAUGUGUAGCGGUGAAGUGCGUAGAUAUGUGGAGGAACACCGGUGGCGAAAGCGGCUCUCUGGUCUGUAACUGACGCUGAGGCUCGAAAGCGUGAGGAGCAAACAGGAUUAGAUACCCCGGUAGUCCCUGUCUCUUAUACA
RNAcentral lists this ribosomal RNA (301 nucleotides) under uncultured bacterium. RNAcentral's name for it is "partial 16S ribosomal RNA". It matches the Rfam family "Bacterial small subunit ribosomal RNA", at positions 509 to 808 of the family's 1533-position model. The record is from RNAcentral.